CCAAUUGGAUUGGCUAGGGCAGGUUUUAAGAGGAGUCAAUUGGAUUGCCCUAGCCAAUCCAAUUGACGCCCCUGUGUAGGUUUUAAGAGGAGUCGCCAAUUCAAUUGGAGACUCCUCCUAAAAUGCAUUUUUUGACUUAUAAAUAGAUGUAUUGUGUGACUAAUUGUUCCACAUCUCAUAUAAUCAUUUGACAAUCAUGUUUGGUGUUCGUCGCCGAUACGGAAAGAUGAUUUAUACGAGAGACAAACCUCAAAUGCUAAUGCUGUUUUGGAACAUCACCACGUUCGAUCAACUGAAGAGGGAGUUGGUUCGUUGGUUAGAUGGGAAAAUACCAGAAGGGGAAAAA
Molecule: long non-coding RNA, 346 nt
Filed under: Lathyrus oleraceus (garden pea)
Lineage: Eukaryota; Viridiplantae; Streptophyta; Magnoliopsida; Fabales; Fabaceae
Description: Pisum sativum (pea) long non-coding RNA (PSAT_LNC002356)
Source: RNAcentral